GAUCAUGGCUCAGGAUGAACGCUGGCGGCGUGCCUAAUACAUGCAAGUCGAACGAGAGAGCUUGCUCUCUAGUGGCGAACGGGUGAGUAACACGUAGGUAACCUGCCUUACAGUUUGGGAUACCCUGGCGAAAGCUAGGCUAAUACCGAAUAAUUGGAUUGGAGGCAUCUCCGAUCUCUAAAAGGGGCCUUUAAAGCCUCGCUGAAUGAUGGACCUGCGGCGCAUUAGCUAGUUGGUGAGAUAACAGCCCACCAAGGCGAGGAUGCGUAGCCGACCUGAGAGGGUGAACGGCCACACUGGAACUGAGACACGGUCCAGACUCCUACGGGAGGCAGCAGUAGGGAGUUUUCGGCAAUGGGGGCAACCCUGACCGAGCAACGCCGCGUGAAUGAAUGAAGGUCUUCGGAUUGUAAAGUUCUGUUAUAAGGGAAAAAUGAUAGGGUGAGGAAAUGCUCUCUAUUUGAUGGUACCUUAUUAGAAAGCCACGGCUAACUACGUGCCAGCCGCCGC
This 510-nucleotide ribosomal RNA is filed under the name uncultured bacterium. RNAcentral describes it as "bacterial SSU rRNA". It matches the Rfam family "Bacterial small subunit ribosomal RNA", at positions 15 to 518 of the family's 1533-position model. The record is from RNAcentral.